GAUGAAGAACGUAGCGAAAUGCGAUAAGUAGUGUGAAUUGCAGAAUUCAGUGAAUCAUCGAAUCUUUGAACGCACAUUGCGCCCCUUGGUAUUCCAUGGGGCACGCCUGUUCGAGCGUCAUUUGUACCUUCAAGCUUUGCUUGGUGUUGGGUGUUUGUCCCUCGGGACUCGCCUUAAAGUCAUUGGCAGCCAGUGUUUUGGUUUUGAAGCGCAGCACAAGUCGCGAUUCAAGGCUAUCCGCCCGCUUCCACAAGCCUUUUUCACUUUUGACCUCGGAUCAGGUAGGGAUACCCGCUGAACUUAAGCAUAUCAAUAAGCGGAGGA
This 324-nucleotide unclassified non-coding RNA is filed under the name soil metagenome. RNAcentral's name for it is "partial contains 5.8S ribosomal RNA, internal transcribed spacer 2, and large subunit ribosomal RNA". The stretch from base 1 to 120 matches the Rfam family "5.8S ribosomal RNA", at positions 35 to 154 of the family's 154-position model. The record is from RNAcentral.